AGCGAACGCUGGCGGCAGGCUUAACACAUGCAAGUCGAGCGCCCCGCAAGGGGCGCGGCAGACGGGAGAGAAACACGUGGGAACAUACCUUUUGGUUCGGAACAACUGAGGGAAACUUCAGCUAAUACCGGAUAAGCCCUUACGGGGAAAGAUUUAUCGCCGAAAGAUUGGCCCGCGUCUGAUUAGCUAGUUGGUGAGGUAACGGCUCACCAAGGCGGCGAUCAGUAGCUGGUCUGAGAGGAUGAUCAGCCUCACUGGGACUGAGACACGGCCCAGACACCUACGGGAGGCAGCAGUGGGGAAUAUUGGACAAUGGGGGCAACCCUGAUCCAGCCAUGCCGCGUGAGUGAUGAAGGCCUUAGGGUUGUAAAGCUCUUUUGCCCGGGAAGAUAAUGACGGUACCGGGAGAAUAAGCCCCGGCUAACUUCGUG
RNAcentral lists this ribosomal RNA (431 nucleotides) under uncultured bacterium. Its description in RNAcentral is "partial 16S ribosomal RNA". It matches the Rfam family "Bacterial small subunit ribosomal RNA", at positions 29 to 507 of the family's 1533-position model. The record is from RNAcentral.